AUGGACGGAGAGUGGCCGGAACAGUUCAAUGAUCUGUACAAUUGGCUUGUCCUCGGGUAUCCAGGCGGAGACAACCAGGUUAUCCAGCAGAACCUUGGUGCUGAGGUGAAUGGCCUGCCUGGAGCCGCCGCCAACAUGGGCAACAACACUAACGCAGCUGCUGCAGAUCAAGGCAACGGCGGUGGACAGGCCAAUGGUGACCAGAGGACACGGCAUUUCAGGCGCCGUCACAACGUAGAACAGAUCCAAAUACUUGAAGCUGCUUUCAAAGAAGGCCAUCAUCCAGAUGAGAAGCGCCGGCUGGAGCUUAGCAGGAGGACUGGCCUGAGUCCUACACAGGUCCAGAUCUGGUUCCAAAACCGACGCAACUCGGGGAAGAGCAAGGCCCAGAAGAAGGAGACCGAGGAAUUUCAGGAAGAGAACGACCGGCUCCAAGCUGAAAAACAAGCACUCAUGUCGGCUAUGCAAAACAAGAUUUGCUUCAUAUGCAGAGGGGAGGAUACCCCGGAGCGGCAGCGCCUGUACGCCGAGAAUGUGAUGCUCAAGGACGCGCACAUGCGUAUCGCCGACUUCCUUAAGAGUGUCUCCGGUGGAAGGCUACAAGUGAUCAACCACACCGUCGUCGAUACCCAUGCCCCUCUCACGCUCACGGCUCCAAAUCCAGUGAUGAUUCCUGACGAGGGCGUUGCCCGCGACAACCCUGAAACCGGUGGAGACACCUUGGUGAUUCAGCAUGUUGCUUGUGCUAUGGAAGAGUUCAAGGUGCUUGUGGGCUUGGGUGCGCCGCUGUGGUCGCUAGCGGAAGGUGGCGAGGUGGAGGUGAUCGACUACAAGGAGUACAUGAAAAUGAUGUUCCCGAAUGAGCGCCACGAGAUGGAAUUUUGUGCGGAGGCCACUAGGAAGACUGGCAUCAUAUCGUGCACCGCCACCGACCUCGUCGGCAUCCUCAUGAACGCGGACUGGUGGUCUCAGACGUUCCCGGGCAUCGUGGCAAGUGCCACCACCAGCAAGAUCAUCACUCCCGGUGAUUCCGGAGAUGGGCUGGUUCAACUGAUGAGUGCAGAGCUGAGGGUGUUGUCGCCGCGGGUGCCGGUUCGCAAGAUCAACUUCAUUAGGCGUUGCCAGAAGAUCGCGGAGAACAUAUGGGCUGUGGUGGAUGUGUCUGUUGAUGGAAUUCGUGACCAGGCGGCGGGCCUCAAUGACGGCGCGCCUUCAACAUACACGGCCUGCAGGCUUCAGCCGAGUGGUUGCCAUAUCCAGGAGUUGAACAAUGGCCAUUGCCAGGUCACAUGGAUCGUGAAUAUGGUGCAUGAUGAGGCCACUGUACCACCGCUGCACCAUCCACUCUUCCGCUCCGGCUGGGCACUCGGUGCGUGCCGCUGGAUUGCAUCCCUCCAGAGGCGAUGCGAUUACAUUGCCUCCCUGCAUACCAACCCCGUUCUCACCCUCAACACCAGAUCUGGUGGAGCAGCUCCUAUAACGCCCGAGGGGAGGAAGAGCGUCCUGGAGGUAGCACAUCGGAUGACACUGAAGUUCUACGAAGCGAUCUGUGGCCCGGGGACCCAGCCAUGGACAAGCGUCGAUGAGCGGCGUGGCAGCUGUGGCGUUGGCGCCGAGAGGUUUGAGGUGGAUGUGCGCGUGGUGACCUUCCCCGUGGGUACAGGUGCUACCGUGCUGAGAGCUACGACGACGGUAUGGCUCCCCGGGACACCGGCGCAGCAAGUGUUCAACUACCUCUGUGAUGGAGAUCGCCGAACCGAGUGGGACAUCGGCGCCAACCGUACCUCCACCAUUCGCCAGGAGGGCUGUUUUGGCACUGGACAACUCGACGGCAACUCCGUCUCUCUCCUGCGCACCAUUGCUUCCAACGGAGCAUACGGCAAGCUGAUCCUGCAAGAGUCAUGCAUCGACGCCUCAUGCAUGGUGUUGGCGUAUGCUCAAAUUGAUGACCAAACCAUUCAGGAUGUCAUCAACGGUACCAACACCUCCUUCUCCCUCCUGCCGUCUGGGGUGGUCGUGCUCCCUGAUGGCAACGCCGAGCCAGGAGCGCCUCCAACAUCUGCCAUGUGCUCCUCCAGCUCCUCCGCCAGUCACAGGAGCAACUCCGGAUCGCUCGUCUCGAUCAUGUACCAGACACUGCUGAGCGGCCAGCCACCGGAGCAUCUCUUCAAAGCUGUUGCCGAGAAUGUGGGGAAUCUGCUCUGUCAAGCCAUCGACAAGAUCAAAUCUGGCGUCCAUGCUAACGUCGUUUUAGCUGCUUGA
RNAcentral lists this ribosomal RNA (2262 nucleotides) under Triticum aestivum (bread wheat). Its description in RNAcentral is "partial small subunit ribosomal RNA". Lineage: Eukaryota; Viridiplantae; Streptophyta; Magnoliopsida; Poales; Poaceae. The record is from RNAcentral.